Grus americana (Whooping crane) is the source of this 1985-nucleotide long non-coding RNA. RefSeq lists it as uncharacterized. The transcript has 5 exons. The record is from RefSeq and is a predicted model, not a curated record. NCBI's taxonomy places the organism in Eukaryota, Metazoa, Chordata, Aves, Gruiformes, Gruidae.
UGGUGCUCGUGGGGCUGGCUGGAGCACAAAGCCUGCCCUUGCGUUUGGUCUGUGGGUGGAAGUUGAGGCUGAAAAAACAAACUGACGUGUCAAGUGUGGAGUGUAUGGUGUGAGUCAGCACAUGCUGACCUCUGCUCCCUCCUCUGUAGCUGCCACGUCUUCCCCGCGUAUUUGGGACGCUCGUUAUAGUCUUUCCUGGUCCAUGGUCCCUGCGCCCCAAAAAGAGCCGUCUGUGAUCCUCUGAGCCCAUGCCUGGUGCGUGUGGGCAUCGAGCAAGAAGGACCUUGUAGCAGGGGGGCUUGAUGCCUCGUGGGGUGACGUAUUCGGAGCGUUCCUGGGUGAUGGAGCAGGAUCUUUUUCGGAAGACAGAUCCCGUGCUAUCCUAGCAGUUGCACCCCAUGACAUACCUGGGCUGAUCCUCUGUGCCAAGUUCUUCCCAGUCGCUGGCACAACAUGUUUGUUGGAUUCCAGGCACGAGGUUUCAGAAUGUGAGAAGAUUUGAGGAAAGAUUUAUCCUGGCUGAUUGGAAGCAGGGGAAAGUUUUCCAGUCCCACGUUUCCCCACCGCCGUCAGAGCCUGCUUGAGAGGUACCUCACCAUCACCGUGCUGCUGAAGAUCGUCUCUUGUGCUGUGCGUAAAUGGGAAAAACGUUGGCCUCGGGUGACAGCCCUGUGACCCUGGUCUGGGAACAGCAAAUGUCUUCAGCCAUCCUGGUCUGUCCCGUUGACACCAGAAGAAUGAGAGGGAGGGAAACCUCACAGGCAGAAGACCCUCCUGCCUGCUUGCUGCCUCUUUACUGGCUCCAGGAAGCGAGAGCAGGGUUUUUGCAAAGGAAGGAAAGUAAAACCCAAGAUAAAUCUAUCACUAAUGGUGAAUCCUCUGAGAAAGCCAAACACCACUCCAGGAGCUGCAGUGGCAGUGAGAUUUGGGGAGUGUCUCCCAGCUGCAGGCUCAGGAGCACCCUCAGCUCCAGCGUUACCGCAUCCUGCCCGCACACGGCGUCUCCAAAUUGGCCAGAUACCGACUGCUGUGGAUGUGUGAGCAGCCAGGUCCUACCCACGCUGCAGGCUUCCCCCAGCUGCACCCAGGGCUUUGCUUCUGCCUUUCUCAUCUGCAUCUUCCAGUCCCCGAGCCCCGUCCCGGCAUCCAGACCGCCACACUCCAGGGUGGCUGCCAAAAGGGAUAGAGAACAGAAGUAAAAAGGUAGUCUGGCUCAUCACAAACUGUAAGUAGCCAAGCCACCACCUGCGGCGGAUCACGGGCUUGUAUUAGAUCCAUCUCCAUGGAGAUUAAACCCUGCUGCCACUCCAGAGGAUCAGCGGGAGAGCUCUGCUGACGGCGGGGCGCACGAGGAUAAGAGGAAGUUUUGCUCGUGCUGCCUGCCAAGUCUAAUCGGGAUCUUUCCUCACCAGCUUCUAUCUGUUGGCGUCUCUCCGGGAGCAGACAGACCUGUUCUUCCUCCUGUGCCCCAGGGAGCAAGAAACAUUUCACGAGUCUCCUACGCUGAUUUUUAGAGAGUAAAGCAAACCUGUGACAGUGAGUUCCAGUUCCCUGGAGAGGAGGAGGUGUUGGGAGCAGCUCGGUGCCCACCUGGAGCUCACAGAAGCACCGCUUGGCUUGGUUGUCUGCGCCCGAAGCAGCAGGAUGCAGCCACCCUCGCAUCUCUAGUCCAGCCUGGUGGUCCCUCCCCCGUGUUUCUACCUUGCAUGGUUUUCUCUGCUCUUUCCCUAGCCACGACAGCAGAGGAUUUCCCUUGUAUUUUGCCUGGUGAACUUGCCUGGGGCUGCAGCAGGUUUUCCAGCUGCAAAACACAAUAAAUUACGGGCGAGCGAGGCUGCCUCCCAGCCGCACGGAGAGGGCUCUAAAUCCGGGAUCACUUAGCUGUUGCACGGUAGCUCCAGUAGAAGUGAUAUGUGGAUUAAAUUUCCAGGAACUGGUGGGGCCCGACUCAGUUUUGAGCCACCAAUUCACCCUAUUAAAAAUAA